AUGGUACGCUCCUCGUCUUGGGUGCCACCUAGUACGGGAAAUGCGAAACUAAAUGUGGAUGCUGCGGUGUCCAGCGCUGGAUUUGGGACUGUGGGUGCAAUAUGCAGAGAUGACAGCGGCCUAUUCUUGGGGGCUUCGAUUCUUUGUUUUAAUCACAUCAUUGAUCCGACUACUUUGGAAGCGUUGGCUAUAAGAGAAGCCCUAGCAUUGGCGGAUGAUAUGUACAAGAGGAGGAUUGAAGUUGCAUCAGACUGCAAAGUGGUGGUGCAAGAUUCACAGCUGGAUAGCUCGGCUAGCUACGGUGUAAUUGUACAUGAAAUAAUAGACCACUCUGCGCUUUUUGAUUUUUACAGUUUUAGUCAUGAAUUUAGGAGGUCCAAUCAUGAAGCUCACAACUUAGCGAAGCAUACUUUUUUUCUCGGUGGUGGCCGCCAUGUGUGGUUAGGGCAUCCCGAAAAUUUACCAUCCGUCCCUGUAAACAUCGUGACGAAUUAA
This 495-nucleotide ribosomal RNA is filed under the name Triticum aestivum (bread wheat). Its description in RNAcentral is "partial small subunit ribosomal RNA". The record is from RNAcentral. Lineage: Eukaryota; Viridiplantae; Streptophyta; Magnoliopsida; Poales; Poaceae.